Contarinia nasturtii (swede midge) is the source of this 1615-nucleotide RNA transcript. RefSeq lists it as uncharacterized. The transcript has 5 exons. The record is from RefSeq and is a predicted model, not a curated record. Lineage: Eukaryota; Metazoa; Arthropoda; Insecta; Diptera; Cecidomyiidae.
UCAAAUUGGAAUUCUUUCGGAAAUUUGUUUGAGUGUGAUUUUUUGCUUGAUGACAUUAAGCCUCAAGUGAAAUAAAUCUAAUAGAAAAUAAUAUUUCAAAAUCAAAUAUAAAUGUACAAACGUAAUAUUGUGAAUGUAUUCAAAAUCAAACCAAUACACAGCUAUUUUCGCUCAAUACAACUGAACCGAAUAAUGUCGACAAAUACAAGCGGCGGUCCCAUCGAACAGGCUAUCACAGAGGCAAUAACAACAAAACUUGAGCCAAUCCAUUUGGAAAUUGUGAACGAAUCGUAUAUGCAUAAUGUUCCAAAUGGUGCCGAAACCCACUUCAAAGUGUUGGUGGUGUCGAAAAAAUUCGAAUCACUACCACUGAUAAAGAGACAUCGGCUGGUGAAUGAAAUAGUUAAGGAAAAAUUGGAUGGAGAUUUCGUGCAUGCAUUGUCAAUUGAAACGAAAAGCCCGGCUCAAUGGAAUGAAAACUACAAAAUGGAUCCGAGUCCGAAUUGUAAAGGUGGCUUUGGCAAAUAAUAAAAAAAGUACAAUGAAAAUGGACAAAAUUGCAACGGAAAUUCGCCUUUCGCAACAGAUCGAGAAAGUGAUAUGCCGUAAAACAAAAUACAAACACAGCAACAAUUGUUUUAUCCUCUUUUUUCUAUAGACAUAUUUAGAGAUAAUCUUGAUGUAAACGAAUUAGAAACUAGAACUCAUUUGAAACGUUAAUUGUACGCAACAUAAUCAAAUAGAUGAAUGCAAAAAAACUAGUUAUGACUAGAAUUAAUCUAGUACGAAAAAGUAAUUGACAGUUCUCAGUUUCAUUUCUCUAUGAAAAAUAGUAGAUGUCGUCAAUAUCCAGAAGAAAAAGAUGCUAAUAGCAACAAGUUAUAUAUCAACUAAUCGAAUGUGUUUUGUUCGAAACAAAUAUAAACUAUUCCAUUUUUUAUUUAAUUCAAAGUUUAUUUCAAAGCAUUUGGUGUUUUUAAAAUGGAUGGACAAAAUUCCAACCAACAAUACUCGUUCCCAGGCACGGCACAACAACAAAUCGUUGGUCAACAGUAUAUACAACCGCAUGCGAUGGCCCCACCAUCAACAUCCAGUCUUGUUACCUCUGCAGAUGAAAGGCGCCGAUCCCAUGGUGAUUCAUCGAAUUCGGAUUCCGAUGCGAUAAGAACAACUCCAACAACGGGUAAUGAACGAUACAAAAAAUCACCACUUUCUAAAUCAAUGGACCAAUUCAAACAUGCCAUUCACAAACUUGAAGCGGACAUUGAAAAUUAUGUUCGAGAUAAAGAGAAAGAUAACAAUAUGGCGAAGUUACAGAAAACACGUACAUUCAUCGAAGGAACACUCAAACAAAUACACAGAAUUCACACUACAGUCUAUGAAGCAAUUGAGGAACCGAAACCGAUGGAGCCAAUUGAUUCUUUGAAGGAAUAUUUGGUUCGAAAUGGCCGGCAACACAUUGUGACGGCGUUUGAACAACAACAACAACAACAACGAAUUUAAAGUCCAAUCCACCAAAAAUAAUUAACCCAUCGAGUGCUCUAAGUUCAGUUUUUUUAAUUAUCGCCUUAUCAAGCCCUUCAAAAAAUAUCGAAUAAAGCCAAUCUCACCAUAA